GCCUUCGUGGUAUAACGGUAGCACACUCGGGGCAUAAUCCAGAGGUCUGGGUUUGAGUCCCGGCGAGGACA
Molecule: transfer RNA, 71 nt
Filed under: Stegodyphus mimosarum
Lineage: Eukaryota; Metazoa; Arthropoda; Arachnida; Araneae; Eresidae
Rfam family: tRNA
About the family: Transfer RNA (tRNA) molecules are approximately 80 nucleotides in length. Their secondary structure includes four short double-helical elements and three loops (D, anti-codon, and T loops).
Source: Rfam by way of RNAcentral